GUUGGACCACGGGGUGUCCUCGUCGCUGGAGGGCGUAAUCUCAAUGGACGGCAGUUGCAGGAACUCCUUGCCGGGGGACAAGACGCCGGGGAUGUUGAUCACUGACUUCCUUGAGGUCUACAAACCGCUUCCCUACCUUGCCCAGGGAACUAGAAACAGAGACCAAUCAAGCAGGUAGCGGUGAGGCAGGAACAAGGUGUAAAGGGUAUGAAGAACCUACAGAGAAGCAGGAGAGAGCUUACUCCUCCAAGUUGUCUUCUGACAUCCAUGUGCUCAACACAUACAGAAGCACUCACACGUGCAAAUAAAUAAACGAU
This is a long non-coding RNA of Apodemus sylvaticus (European woodmouse), 317 nucleotides long. RefSeq lists it as uncharacterized. Lineage: Eukaryota; Metazoa; Chordata; Mammalia; Rodentia; Muridae. The record is from RefSeq and is a predicted model, not a curated record. The transcript has 3 exons.